This 254-nucleotide ribosomal RNA is filed under the name uncultured bacterium. RNAcentral describes it as "partial 16S ribosomal RNA". It matches the Rfam family "Bacterial small subunit ribosomal RNA", at positions 524 to 776 of the family's 1533-position model. The record is from RNAcentral.
UACAGAGGGUGCUAGCGUUGUUCGGAAUCAUUGGGCGUAAAGGGCGCGUAGGCGGCCACCGCAAGUCAAUUGUGAAAUCUCCGGGCUCAACCCGGAAAGGUCAACUGAUACUGCGGGGCUAGAGUGCAGAAGGGGCAACUGGAAUUCUCGGUGUAGCGGUGAAAUGCGUAGAUAUCGAGAGGAACACCUGCGGCGAAGGCGGGUUGCUGGGCUGACACUGACGCUGAGGCGCGAAAGCUAGGGGAGCGAACGGG